UUUGACUGGGGCGGUCUCCUCCCAAAGAGUAACGGAGGAGCACGAAGGUGGGCUAAUCACGGUUGGACAUCGUGAGGUUAGUGCAAUGGCAUAAGCCCGCUUGACUGCGAGAAUGACAAUUCGAGCAGGUGCGAAAGCAGGUCAUAGUGAUCCGGUGGUUCUGAAUGGAAGGGCCAUCGCUCAACGGAUAAAAGGUACUCCGGGGAUAACAGGCUGAUACCGCCCAAGAGUUCAUAUCGACGGCGGUGUUUGGCACCUCGAUGUCGGCUCAUCACAUCCUGGGGCUGAAGUCGGUCCCAAGGGUAUGGCUGUUCGCCAUUUAAAGUGGUACGCGAGCUGGGUUUAGAACGUCGUGAGACAGUUCGGUCCCUAUCUGCCGUGGGCGUUGGAAGAUUGAAGGGGGCUGCUCCUAGUACGAGAGGACCGGAGUGGACGAACCUCUGGUGUUCGGGUUGUGUCGCCAGACGCAUUGCCCGGUAGCUAAGUUCGGAAUCGAUAACCGCUGAAAGCAUCUAAGCGGGAAGCGAGCCCUGAGAUGAGUCUUCCCUGAUACUUUAAGUAUCCUAAAGGGUUGUCGGAGACUACGACGUUGAUAGGUCAGGUGUGUAAGUGCUGUGAGGCAUUGAGCUAACUGAUACUAAUUGCCCGUGAGGCUUAACCAU
RNAcentral lists this ribosomal RNA (662 nucleotides) under Vibrio parahaemolyticus. RNAcentral describes it as "partial 23S ribosomal RNA". It matches the Rfam family "Bacterial large subunit ribosomal RNA", at positions 2269 to 2925 of the family's 2925-position model. Lineage: Bacteria; Pseudomonadati; Pseudomonadota; Gammaproteobacteria; Vibrionales; Vibrionaceae. The record is from RNAcentral.